GAUGAACGCUGGCGGCGUGCCUAAUACAUGCAAGUCGAGCGAACGGACGAGAAGCUUGCUUCUCUGAUGUUAGCGGCGGACGGGUGAGUAACACGUGGAUAACCUACCUAUAAGACUGGGAUAACUUCGGGAAACCGGAGCUAAUACCGGAUAAUAUUUUGAACCGCAUGGUUCAAAAGUGAAAGACGGUCUUGCUGUCACUUAUAGAUGGAUCCGCGCUGCAUUAGCUAGUUGGUAAGGUAACGGCUUACCAAGGCAACGAUGCAUAGCCGACCUGAGAGGGUGAUCGGCCACACUGGAACUGAGACACGGUCCAGACUCCUACGGGAGGCAGCAGUAGGGAAUCUUCCGCAAAGGGCGAAAGCCUGACGGAGCAAAGCCGCGUGAGUGAUGAAGGUCUUCGGAUCGUAAAACUCUGUUAUUAGGGAAGAACAUAUGUGUAAGUAACUGUGCACAUCUUGACGGUACCUAAUCAGAAAGCCACGGCUAACUACGUG
This 497-nucleotide ribosomal RNA is filed under the name uncultured bacterium. RNAcentral describes it as "partial 16S ribosomal RNA". It matches the Rfam family "Bacterial small subunit ribosomal RNA", at positions 28 to 507 of the family's 1533-position model. The record is from RNAcentral.